AUACGGAGGGUGCGAGCGUUGUUCGGAAUUACUGGGCGUAAAGGGCGCGUAGGCGGCUUUACAAGUCAGGUGUGAAAGUCCACGGCUCAACCGUGGAAGUGCAUUUGAAACUGUAAGGCUUGAGUACUGGAGGGGAGUGUGGAAUUCCUGGUGUAGAGGUGAAAUUCGUAGAGAUCAGGAGGAAUACCGGUGGCGAAGGCGACACUCUGGACAGAUACUGACGCUGAGGCGCGAAAGCGUGGGGAGCAAACAGGAUUAGAUACCCUAGUAGUCC
This 274-nucleotide ribosomal RNA is filed under the name uncultured bacterium. RNAcentral's name for it is "partial 16S ribosomal RNA". It matches the Rfam family "Bacterial small subunit ribosomal RNA", at positions 523 to 796 of the family's 1533-position model. The record is from RNAcentral.